Molecule: ribosomal RNA, 207 nt
Filed under: uncultured bacterium
Lineage: Bacteria
Description: partial 16S ribosomal RNA
Rfam family: Bacterial small subunit ribosomal RNA
Source: RNAcentral
CACGUAGGCGGAUAUUUAAGUCAGGGGUGAAAUCCCAGAGCUCAACUCUGGAACUGCCUUUGAUACUGGGUAUCUUGAGUAUGGAAGAGGUAAGUGGAAUUCCGAGUGUAGAGGUGAGAUUCGUAGAUAUUCGGAGGAAUACCAGUGGCGAAGGCGGCUUACUGGUCCAUUACUGACGCUGAGGUGCGAAAGCGUGGGGAGCAAACA